GUGUAGCUCAGUGGUAGAGCACUAGCCUAGCAUGUGCAAGGCCCUGGGUUCAAUUCCUAGCAC
Molecule: transfer RNA, 63 nt
Filed under: Heterocephalus glaber (naked mole-rat)
Lineage: Eukaryota; Metazoa; Chordata; Mammalia; Rodentia; Bathyergidae
Rfam family: tRNA
About the family: Transfer RNA (tRNA) molecules are approximately 80 nucleotides in length. Their secondary structure includes four short double-helical elements and three loops (D, anti-codon, and T loops).
Source: Rfam by way of RNAcentral